ACAGAAAGAGAGAUCCCAAGGCAAUAGAAACCAAAAAGAAAGAAAGAAAGAAGUUUAGUCAAGCCACUUUCGUUUCUUUGUUCUUCUCUGUUCCUCUAUUUUCUCAGGGAGAGAGAGUUGUCUCUCCUCGGGACUUGGGAGGACGUUCAGGGAGGGAGAGGAGGAAAGGAAAGGAAAAGAAAAGGU
Molecule: non-coding RNA, 186 nt
Filed under: Chloropicon mariensis
Lineage: Eukaryota; Viridiplantae; Chlorophyta; Chloropicophyceae; Chloropicales; Chloropicaceae
Source: RNAcentral